UCACCCCUCAAGCCCCCGGCUUGGUGUUGGACGGUCUGGUUUCGGUCCCCGAAACCCCUCCUAAAGUUAAUGACGGCGGUGUGUGAGCCCCCGGUACACUGAGCUUCUUUACUGAGCACGUAUCGGUUCUAGGGCCGCAGACCCCCGGUCUUCUUCCCUCACGGGAAAUUUUUUUCA
RNAcentral lists this unclassified non-coding RNA (177 nucleotides) under uncultured Capronia. RNAcentral describes it as "partial internal transcribed spacer 2". The record is from RNAcentral. Lineage: Eukaryota; Fungi; Ascomycota; Eurotiomycetes; Chaetothyriales; Herpotrichiellaceae.